Molecule: ribosomal RNA, 226 nt
Filed under: Klebsiella pneumoniae
Lineage: Bacteria; Pseudomonadati; Pseudomonadota; Gammaproteobacteria; Enterobacterales; Enterobacteriaceae
Description: partial 23S ribosomal RNA
Rfam family: Bacterial large subunit ribosomal RNA
Source: RNAcentral
GUGACUGCGUACCUUUUGUAUAAUGGGUCAGCGACUUAUAUUCUGUAGCAAGGUUAACCGUAUAGGGGAGCCGCAGGGAAACCGAGUCUUAACUGGGCGUUAAGUUGCAGGGUAUAGACCCGAAACCCGGUGAUCUAGCCAUGGGCAGGUUGAAGGUUGGGUAACACUAACUGGAGGACCGAACCGACUAAUGUUGAAAAAUUAGCGGAUGACUUGUGGCUGGGGG